Molecule: long non-coding RNA, 812 nt
Filed under: Parus major (Great Tit)
Lineage: Eukaryota; Metazoa; Chordata; Aves; Passeriformes; Paridae
Description: lncRNA (ENSPMJG00000019202.1)
Source: RNAcentral
GGGAACUAAAGGUACUUUAUGUCUGCUUCUGACAUCAGUCUCUGCACUUUCCUGUGACAGAGCAAGUCUUUUCUAGGCAGGCUCUGUGGGGUAAUUGAAUUAAGAGAGCCUGUGAUCAGCUCUGCUUCUAUUUUUAAGUUCCAGAACUUACAGACAAGGAUUUCUUUUCUCAAAAAGUUCGAUAAAAAGGACGAGGGUUGAAGAAGUUUGAAGACCGACCUCUUCCUGCCUCCCCACAGCCCUUCAGUCUUCUUCUUACAUCAAGGUUAUGGCUAACAGACAGCUCUCAGGGAGGGACCUGCUCUGUGAAGACUUUCCUCCUUCUUUCUGUCAGAGGCAUCUUGAUAGGGAAGCUGAAGCAUGGGGGAAUAGCUUUUCUUUGUGGAACAACCCUGCUGUGUGCUUCUUUGUCCCUAUCCUUGCCUCUCCAUAGAAGACAGGCUGUGUGUGGACCACGUGCGUCUGUCGGACCACGGGAACUCUCCUGCUGUUUUAACUGGAUGACCAUAGGAAAAUGUCUUGUUGCAAGUGCAAGCACCAAUUCCCUGCAUGGAGGAGAAGGACUUCUGCAGCCAAUUGCUGAUGGUUAAUAAGAGCUGGGUGCUGUCAACAUCAGUGUAAGUCCUGUAUCUUAUGUUCUUAUUUUCAAACUCAGGUCUUCAACUAUGUGGCUACAGCUGUUUUUGGUGUGGUUUGGGGUUAUUUGUUGUUUUUUUUUCAAUGAAAGUAGAAAUUCUGUGUUCAAAAAGCUGGGAACAAGUGAAAAGCAAGAAAGUCUGCAGCAGCUGGAAGGUGUAGUAACACUGGGGUGU